This is an RNA transcript of Triticum aestivum (bread wheat), 12212 nucleotides long. It is a transcript of the gene named probable protein transport Sec1a, with no coding region annotated. NCBI's taxonomy places the organism in Eukaryota, Viridiplantae, Streptophyta, Magnoliopsida, Poales, Poaceae. The transcript is spliced from 5 exons. The record is from RefSeq and is a predicted model, not a curated record.
GAAGUGUCAGACAAAAAAUCUCAUGUGAAUUACUCCAUAAAAUUCAACAUCCACGGACCGCAAGAUGACCUACAUAAUUACAGAAUCAAUAUAUUCAAUAAUUUCUUUUUAUCAAUUUUUAUAGAUAGUUAUAUAAAAAACUUUAAAAUUAUCAAAUGAUCAUGACUAUAACAAGCCCUGAUGAUAAAAAAAUAGGACCCACGCAGGUGAAUGGGACACGCCUGAUAAAAUAUAAUGGAUUUGUUAGAGAAAAAAGGAAUGAUUCUUUUUUAUUUCAGAAGAUAAAGAAAAUUGGUUUGGCUCCAGCCGCCUAUGCAUCCAUUCCCACCACCUACGCACCCAUUCCCACUCGCUCACAAUAUCUGGUCACUGUCAAAUACUGUAUAGUAGUACAGUAGUAUAGUACUCCUCAUACAGGAGUACUGAAAAAACGGCAGUCAUCCUCCUCACAUCUCCCCCGUUCCCCAUUUCUCCCAUCGCCAGCUCCCUCCCUCCACAGCCGGCGGUCCCAGGUUAGGCCACCCCUUCCCUUUGUUACCAUAGCCAGCGCGAGCUUUGCAGCCACUAAUCUUCCUCCCCUUCAUGUCGAAUCUGGCUGCGGAAGUGGCCGAGGAGGCCCUCGAGCUCGGCAUGCUUGCGCCAGCUCUAGGCUCCGUCGGAGGCGUACGCGAAGGCGCGGGACUUGCACGCCUCUCCUCUGCCCUACUCCUUCGAAUCCAGUCGCAGAACUGCUCGAGGAGGCGCUCGAGCUUGGCGUGCUCACCAGCGACGUCGGGCCCCUCCCUCCUCCUGAUGCCCUCACCGUCGCCGCCAUGAGCCUCUCCACCCUCUCCCGCGCGAUUGUCCGGGUCCAGUUGGCCGGAUUAUGUUCCGAUGAUAUGAUCGCAGUGAAUAAUAUGGGUUGCCUAUGUGCUCAUGAAACUAAAAAGUCUUCAAAAGGCAGUCUUCCAAUGAAAUUUGAAAUAUAAAAAACAUGGUAUCAGAAAAGAACGAAUAGGGGAAGAGUCAACAUGGAUGUUGUCCCGGUUUUAUCCCAUCCUGGAGGUAUAAUUUUUUUAUCCGAUUAAUGAUAGCAGCAAAUGUUUGACAUUAUUCAUACUGUUAUGAAAUAAUUUUUUUUGCAUACAACAAUUUUAAAUGUCUUACAGAUUCCAAGAUAAUUUAUCUCCACCAUUCUUUCAUUGUUCCCAAGUUACCUUUCUUAUGCAUUAUUCUCCAUUAGUUCUGAUUUACCUGUGAUCUCACCUCAUUUUGUCAACUACCCGUUUGCCGUAUGUGUGGAGCCCUCAUGGUUGGUCUGUUGGUUUGAGUUAUUUUGUCCCCAAUCUUCGGUCCCAUCAUCCAUUUGCUCGUCCUUCUAAUUUCUUGAUUCGAUUACUGUGUUUAUCUUGGCUACCAUUUCAGCACAAACAUUUACCUGGUGGUGGUCAAAUUGAACAAUGUUAGCAAUCACUCUCUAGCUGACUGAAACUUAACCUCCCUAAAGCAUGAACCAAACCUGCUCUUAGCUGCAAGCUUUGUUGGUCGAGCAAGUGCAAAAAAAACCAUCAACAAAUAAUCUCAUGCUUAAUCCAAUGUUACAUUAAUAAUCUAGCGAGAUCCAAGUAUGGAAGGAAGCAAUUCAAUAUUAUCACAUAUUUCCUUACACUGCACGCCACAGAAGCACAAUCCUAUUUCUUUAUAUUCAUCUUUCCUUUAAUACUUGAAACUGAAACUGAAAUUCCAUGAAUGCUUUGUUCAAGAACAACUAUGAUUGAUCCUUGAGAAAUGUGCAGGUACAUAUGCCAGAACUACACUUACUAUUUCCUAUUACCAUAUCCUUCAUUAAGGAAAAAUUCCCUAAAUAAGCUUGACCUAGCCAAAUGACUAACAAACAUGUAGCCAUGGCCAAUACUGCAUGAAUUAGUCAGGAACUUCAGCACAAACUCAUCUAUUUCAGACUUCUCCUCUGUUCUUCUCUGGACUCUAUAAAUUAAAAUAUCACACAUGCAUAUGCAAAGGCAGUGGAAGCAAAGAGAACUUACAUUGGAAGGAGGCACAACGAAUCCGCAGAACGCUCCAGAAGCAACUGGAAGGCGACGGAGCGGACAACAGCAGCUUGGACCAAUAGAUGACAACGAAAAAAGCAGAGGCCUACAGGAGGCAAAAUGCGGCAAUCAGCGAGCGGGUAAAUCCAAAACAUAGCAAAUAAUGGUGAUGGAGACACCUCAGCCAAACGGUUCCAUGGCAGGUCAACCCGAAGUGCAGCAGCAACAAAGAACCAGCGGAGUUGCAGCAGAAAAGAGAGGCAAAAAUGAAAGCAAGAAGAAACCCAAAUCAGUGAAAAGGAAACGGGAUACUAAAAGCUUAGCCUGUUCAAAGCUUUCUGGGUGUGUACAACAUGCAUAUAUUUAGUAAAGUGUAUAUGCACAUAAGCAUGACUACCAACAACAUAUGGGGAUUUGACAAAUGGGGGAUACUACAGCCAUUUUUAAAAUUUGCAUAUCUUCAUGCAUAUACUUGAUAUCCCGACGACACUAUAUUCACACUACUUGAGAAAGUAAAUAGUCAAACGACAUUAAUAGAGAAGUUGUAGAGUUCUACCGUUUCCGCUUUGCAAUCCCAAUAAAACAAUAUAGUUCUUCUGCAAGUAAUUAUAUGACAUGAUGGUCUACAGCUACAAGAAGGUUGGGUGUGUUAGAGUUAUAAUAUAAGUCAUGUACCCCUUUGUAUUUAUCCCGUUGUAUAAGGGGUUUCCUGCAUAUGUUCCACACCUGUACAUGUAUAUAUAUCGGCCUAUGGCCUCAUGGGAAUACAAGUUGCAUAUUUUCCUAACAGGGUGAAGUCUACAGCCACAAGAACGCCAUCAGCAGGUUCGCGGCGAAGCUCACGCAGGUCGCCGUGUUGAGGAGUGAGUUCCCCUCUUGCUGCUCUGCUCUGCUCUCACAAUCAACUGAAUCCCUUUAGCUAGCAGUAAAACUACAGUUGCAAGAGCUUUUUUUAAUUGCAUGAUGCACAGUUGAUGGUCAACUAAGGCAAACCCAUAGUAUAAUCGUUAAGAUCAAGUUGGUAAUUUUAGUCGGACCUGUUGUCAAUACUGAGGUCAAUGCAAGGCCUACUCACAUGGUUAAUAUGCUAAUUCUUGUCACCAGAAAACCAAGAAAGGUGUACCAUGAGCAAGGAUCGAUAUUAUAAAUGUAUACAGUAUUAUGUAUAAAUGGCCAAUGGCUCCAGCAACUAUAGCAAUUAAACCGUGAGCACCAGGGAAAGAGGAUAAUGAUUUUAAUUCAGCCGUUAUGUAAAAAAGAAAUCAAAUAGUUAUUGAACCUAGCCUUGUUAUGGUAUCUAUUCAAACUAAACAAAGUAAAAAAUAUGGAUAGCAAAUUUACUGAAAGUUGAACGCACACAACUGCUUGAACAGCUCUAGCAGCCUCUGAUAUGCCAAUCAGGAUACCUUGCAAAAUAUUCUCAGAAUGCAUUGAUCAAUAUCUAUGCAAACCAAACAAAGGAGGCUGCUACACUAUGGAUCAAAAAAUAUUCACCGUCUAAAUCGUUCAGGCCAAAGCCAUUGCCAAGACUCCUCAGAUUUAUUCCUUAAAUGUUCCAUGUGUUCAGAAAAUAAAAUAUAAUACGAUGAACUCUAGUUUCAUAAACUGUUAUUGGAACAUAUGUACCAUUUUGUAACUGAGUAUACACACCAGUGCUAACCACAUAUAGUUGUUCUUAGUCCAAGCAAAAAUGUACCCAUGUUAACAAUUUUGUACAUGGGUAGUGUGGAUAUUUAACCUCAAUAGGAUAACAUCACAUUUUAUCUGCUAACCAAAGUACAACGGGGCAGAGCUUGAAUCUAACUAUUAUAAAAAAAACACAAACCGAUCUAGUAGCAUAUAUAAUUUGGAUCUAGCAUAUAUUUUGGCUUGGUGUAUCCAUGUUAACAACUGUUUAACUGAUAUAUUGGACUGGGGUACCAAGUCUAAUUAGUUACCUGAUUCCUAAUCAGGAAGCCUACUCACGUGUGGCCACCUGUAACAUUUCUUUAAACAUGUUGCUUCAAUAAUGUCAAUCUACAAAGCAUUCACUAUACAGAAAGGGGAAUAAAAUGCAGCUUCCAUCAGGACAAAUAUAUUAACAAGUUUAAAUGUGAAUGAUGAAGUAAAAGCAACGAGAGAGGAGCACCUCUGCAAGAUUGGAGGAAGUGGUGUUCCACUCCUAGGCUCCUAGCGCUCCUGUAGCCGACGCCUCAUCCGUGAGAUGAAGAGGAGAGACGAGAAGCUGCCGCCGUCGCCUUUAGAAUAACAGGUUGGAGGUCGGCGUUGAGCGCAGUCAUUCCUCACAGUCGACCAGCUCAGCUAGCUUUGUCGCUCCCAUGCUCGCUGCCGCCGUUGUUCUUACAUAUGAUGUGGGUUGGAGAGCCGACGCGACGGCAGGCGCAGGAGAUAGCAGGGGAAGGACCUGUACAUGUAGCACGCAAGAGGAAGAACACCGAGGUAAGCAGGGUGCACUGCGUAAAAUGCAGACGAUCUGAAGGAAGGCCAGCACCGACCUUAACCAGCAGCACCUAUGGAACGCCAUCACAAUGGCGACGCACAUGGACGGCGAAGAAUACCAGUCAGCCGCAACGGGUCGGAGAGGAAGCAAAGCGUGGUGGGGGCGAAGCAGGCGAACGACGGACAACGAAAAUGGAGAGCGGGAGAGAGAAAAGGAGCAACGAAGGAAAGAUGAAAAAGGAAGAAAGGGCCGGGCGCGGUCUCUCCCCACAUCAGGAAACACUCGGCGCACGGGAACACACCCACCACCGCCCGGAAGACACGCAUCCUAAGCGGGCCACUCUGGCCCACCGUCAUACAGACAGCAGGCCAGCGGCUGAAAGACGCUCGCGCAAGAGGGGGACGUGCAGGCUCAGCGUAGAGGCGGGCUCCACGGCGCGGCGCACACACGUCCGACUGGUCGAGCCGUGCAUCAGCCACAGCGAGACCAGGCGCAGGAGUCAGCCUCGCAUGACGAGUUUCACGGGGCAAGCCUGUGCGAUAGCUGGAAACUUCUUGCCUGUUGAGGCCGACGGGUUCGUGUUAAUAUAGUGGGGCGCACCUCCCAUACAGCGCAUACAAUGUGGUUUAGAUUACAGGAGAUAUUCGGGGAGAAGAUAGAACUUGGAGAGAAAGAAACAACUUAUCUCUAUCUAUUUCUAUCUAUCCUAACUACCUCCAGGUGUGGCUCAAGUGUAGAUGCGCCAUGUACCACGUACCAUAACGUGACAGCAUGUUUGACACCCUCCCUUAGUCACAACUUCAUCAAGUUGAGAUUAUGCUUGAAGUCUUCAAAACUCUUUGUAGGCAGGGGCUUUGUGAAUCCAUCUGCAAUUUGAUCUUUGGAAUGCACAAACCGAAUGUCAAGUUGUUUUUGAGCAACUCUCUCUCUGACAAAAUGAAAAUCUAUCUCUAUAUGCUUUGUUCUAGCAUGAAACACAGGAUUAGCAGAAAGAUAAGUAGCACCAAGGUUGUCACACAACAAGCAUGGAGCUUGUUUGCUCUUCACACCAAGCUCUUUCAACAUAGACUAAACCCAUAUGAUUUCAGUUGUGGCAUUUGCUAAUGCCUUGUACUCUGCCUCAGUGCUUGACCUGGAGACAGUAGCCUGCUUGCGUGCACACCAUGAUAUCAGGUUAGGUCCAAAAAAUACCGCAAAGCCUCCUGUGGAGCGUCUGUCAUCCAGGCAGCCUGCCCAAUCAGAUCAGAAAAGGCACUGACAAGAGUAGAGGAUGACUUGCUGAAAUUCAGGCCUAUACUCAGAGUAUGUUUAACAUAUCUAAUGAUACGUUUGGCAGCUGUCAAGUGAACAGUGGUAGGUGCAUGCAAAAAUUGACAGACUUUGUUGACGGCAAAUGAAAGAUCAGGCCUGGUAAGAGUUAGGUACUGAAGAGCUCCUACUAGACUUCUAUAUUUUGUGCUAUCUUCCUGACUCAAAGGUUUACCUUCCAUAAGUGACAACUUUUCUGAGCUGGAUAACGGAGUGAGAGAGGGUUUACAACCUUGUAGUCCUGCCUUUUUAACCAGAUCAGUUGCAUACUUAGCUUGAGAAAGGUGAAGUCCAUUCGAAUGCUUCUUUACCUCAAUCCCAAGGAAAUAAUGAAAGUCUCCGAGAUCCUUUAACGCAAAAUCUGUACUCAAGUCUUUCAACAGUCCUCUAAUUGCUUCAUCAGAUGAACUGGUCACAAUUAUAUCAUCAACAUAGAUGAGAACAAAUAUGCAUGUAUUGGAUCUGUUAUAAAUGAACAAUGAUGUGUCUGACUUAGAGGGAAUAAAUCCAAGUGUUUGCAUCUUGUGACAGAGACGUGAGUACCAUGCCCUUGGAGCUUGCUUUAAUCCAUAUAAAGCUUUAUCAAGUUUGCACACAUAGGAGGGAGUUUUCUUACUUUCAAACUCAGGAGGUUGUUUCAUGUACACUUCCUCUUCCAGAACACCAUGAAGAAACGCGUUCUGUACAUCAAGCUGCCUGAGACUCCAUCCCCUGGAAACAGCAAUGGACAAAACAAGACGAAUAGUGGCUGCUUUUACCACAGGACUAAACGUAUCCUCAUAGUCUAUGCCAUAUCGCUGUUUGAAGCCUUUUGCAACUAGCCUAGCCUUAUAGCGAUCAAUGGUUCCAUCAGAUCUCCUCUUAAUCCUAAAAACCCACUUGCAAUCAAUAAAGUUUUUACCUUGCUGUGGAGGAACCAAGUGCCAAGUUUUAUUUUUCUUCAAUGCCAUGUAUUCUUCAUCCAUUGCCUUCUUCCACUUAUCAUCACGAAGCGCUGCAUCAAGGGUUGCUGGCUCAUCUGGUUCUCCUGUGGAACAGACCAAACCAUAUUUGGUUACAUGUUUAUAAUUUAAAGGCUGAGUUAACCCUUGUUGGAGCUGUGUUCGCCGUGAUGGGGGAGCAGCAGAAUCCGCAGCCACAGAGGAUCCAGCGGGCUGCACAGGUGGAUCGGCAACAUAUCCCGAGGGAGAUCUUGCCGCGGACCCAGCAGCAGUUCCAGUCGGCGCAGGGUUGGCCGGAUCUUCUGUGACCACUCGCUGAAGCGCCUCGUCCAGAGUUGGCGCAGAAGAUCCCGAGGCGGGAACCCGCUCAUCAUUGCGCGAUGAUGACGCUGUGGCUCGGGUCCACGCGCCAGUCGGUCGAUCGACAGCGGUGGGACCAGCUCCGGGGUCCGCGUCCGCGCUGGCCCGCGCGGAUUCGCGCCGCUUGUACGUGACAGGGCGGGCGCCGUACUGCGUGCCGCCUGGGGGGACCCGCAUGUCGGGCGUGGCCCGCGUGUCGGUGGUGGAGGCGCGCAAAUCUGGCGGGGCGGUGCACUCGCCUGCACCUGUCGCCCCUGCACCACCCGAUCCCGAGGGGGAUCUGGUCUCCUGCGGCGCUGCUGAUCCCGAGGAGGAUCUGUCCCCUGGCGCAUUGUCUCCUGCCACGGGACACAUGAGAUAUGGCCCAAUUUCUGCACCGUUUUGGUUGUUUUCUUCACAAUUUUCUCCUGUUUCAUCAACGCAAAGCUCAUGUAUGCCAUUAGAUGAGUUAGUCAACGAAUGAUCAUCAGUAUUUGGUCCCCCUUUAUGAAAACUAGUGAGAUGAGGAGGUAGGAGAAGAAUUUCUUCUCGAAGGAGUGCACCAGCAUUGCGGUGGAGAUCAGCGAAUGGAAACUUGGUUUCAUCAAAAACGACAUCACGGGAGAUGUAUACUCGCCCGGUGGAGACAUCUAAGCACUUGACCUCUUUGUGCUGGGCACUGUAGCCAAGGAAUACGCACUGUUUUGAUCGAAACAUGAGCUUUCGGUUGUUGUAGGGACGAAGGUUGGGCCAACAUGCACACCCAAAUACACGAAGAGACUUAUAGUCUGGUUUGGUGUGGAGAAGUCGUUCUACCGGAGUUUCAUUAUUAAUAACACGACUAGGAAGCAUGUUGAUGAUAUGGACUGCGGUUAAAAACGCUUCAUCCCAGAAUUUUAGAGGCAUGGAGGCGCCUGCUAGAAGAGCAAGGCCAACCUCGACGAUGUGUUGAUGCUUACGUUCAGCUGACCCGUUUUGCUGGUGAGCAUGAGGACAGGACACUUGAUGUGAGACACCAAGUGUUUGGAAGAAGGAGUUCAACUUUUCGUACUCCCCUCCCCAGUCUGACUGGACAGAGAUGAUUUUGCUGUCAAAUUUUCGCUCAACAAGAGCUUGAAAGUUUUUGAACACUUGAAACACAUCGGAUCGUUUCUUUAAAAGAUAGAUCCAAAAAAAUUUGCCAAAGUCAUCGAUGAAGCUAACAUAAUAGGUGUGUCUGCCAACAGAAGUAGGGGCAGGGCCCCAAACAUCAGAAAAAAUCAAUUGUAACUGUUUGGUAGAAACACUGCUAGAAAUUGGGUAAGCCAACUGAUGACUUUUAGCUUUUUGACAUGAAUCACAAAUUGUCUCAUUAUGACGCUCACCAACAAACGGGAGCUUAUUUUUCCUAAGCAAUUUUUCAACUAAAGAAAAAGAUGCAUGUCCUAAACGAUCAUGCCAUCGUAUGGACGAAAGCUUGAUAGCACCACAAGCAUAUUUAUUUGGUCUUCUAAACUCCGGAAUCAACGGAUAGAGGCCGCCAACGCAUCUACCUCGAUAGAGAAUUGUCCUCGUGGCCUGAUCCUUGAUCAAAAAGAAGUAAGGGUGAAAUUCAAGAAAUACAUGAUUAUCAAGGGCAAUUCGAUGGACAGAAAUAAGACUCUUGUUGGCGCUAGGGACAUGCAAUUUUUUUCUAAGAUGAAUAUUGCGAUGAGGGGUACGAAAUAUUGAGUGACCAAAGUGACUUAUACUCAUACCUUCUCCACUGGCAGUGUGGAUUUGAUCCUUGCCACGAUACUUCUCUUUCAUGGUUACUUUCUCGAGCUCGUUGGUGAUGUGGUUGGUAGCACCACUGUCGACGUACCAGUUCGUGUCGACGCCAUAUGAGCCAUCGGCCGCCGCAGCGACUUUUUCUUCAUCUUGAGAGUCGUAGUCGUCCUCCUCAUACCUGUACCAUUAAUCCUUUGCUGUGUGCCCGACCUUGCCGCAGAUCUGGCACCGAGGGGUGUCCGGACGGUUCCUGCCGCCGCCACCAGCGCCGCGUCCGCGGCGGCCUCGGCCACCAGAUCGUGGUGGCGUGGCGCCACGGUUGCCGCCGCCGCUGGACCUGCCCUUGUUGCGAGAGGGCCCACGCGAGCGAGAGCCGCCACCCCGCCCGCGAGUGGCCGCGUUCGCGGAUGAUUUGAAGCCGCCGCCGGCCCCCUGGAAUUGAGCCAUGCGCUGAUCGAAGUUGGAUAACAUGGCAAAGAGUUCAUCAAGGGUUACCCCGGUCACGCGAGCGUCGAGGGCAGAGACCAGAGGCUGAUAGUCGGCGUCGAGCCCGUGGAUGAUGUAGGAGGCAAGUUCGUCGUCGGGGAUCACCUUUCCUGCGGCAGCUAGCUCGUCGGCGUAGCCACGCAUGACGGCGAAGUAGGAGGCGACGGAGAGGUUCCCCUUCUGCGCGUUGAUGAGGGAUGUUCGGAUGUUGUUGAUGCGGCUGGCAGACUGGGACGAGAACAUCCCAGCGAGCGUCGGCCAGAGCGCGCCCGCGGUGGUGACCGUGGUCACCGUGAGCAGCACCUCACGCGUCAGGUUAUUCAGCAGAUAUCCAAGGACCUGCUGAUCCUCCCUGACCCAAAUUGGGUGGAGAGGGUUGGGCGAUGAUGAGACCUCCUUGCCGUCCUUGGUGGUGACGAGGAGUUUUGCCGGCUCCGGCUGGGUGCCGUCGACGUAGCCGUAGACACCGGCGCCACACAGCUGGGGGAUGACUUGCGUGCGCCAUAGCACAUAGUUUGUGCGCGUCAGCUUCUCGGUAACCUGGCCAUUGAGGCUGGUUUGGGAUGCGCCGGAGGAGGAAGACAUGGCUAGGGCUAGAUGGAGUUUGCAGGGAGCUUAGAUGGGAAAAGGAUAGCUCUGACUACCAUGUGCGAUAGCUGGAAACGUCUUGCCUGUUGAGGCCGACGGGUUCGUGUUAAUAUAGUGGGGCGCACCUCCCAUACAGCGCAUACAAUGUGGUUUAGAUUACAGGAGAUAUUCGAGGAGAAGAUAGAACUUGGAGAGAAAGAAACAACUUAUCUCUAUCUAUCUCUAUCUAUCCUAACUACCUCCAGAUGUGGCUCAAGUGUAGAUGCGCCAUUUGACAAAGCCAACAACUCCCUCCAACCCCGAACAGAAAGCUGGAGACACGACGAACAAACACCACCCGCUGACGCGUAGGACCAGGGAGCAGGGUGUCCCACAUGUCAUCCCAAGCGAAGAACCAACGGGUAUAUCCCCACCAGCAAAUCAGCCUCUCCACGCCUCGGUCCUUCCACCCCGUGUGCAGCGGUCCACGCGCAACGACGCACGACCUCCUGCGCACAGUCCAUCCCGUGGGGGCCCGCGCAACGGCAGGCGAUUGCCCGCGCACACACCAUCCCGUGAGGACCUGAGCCUAGCCAGCGAAUCUGACGAGCGGGUCCAGCAGCACCACCGGCCCACCUAUCAGUGAGAGGAGGAUGCGCUAACCGGGUGCGCAUGCGUCGACCAAUCUCGCCAGCCAACCCGUGCGGCCCUGCACGCACGCACGCUGCGGUCAGCGCCGAAACAGCCACGCGACGCGCAACGAGUGGCCACCCGAAAAUUUCAAACCCAGCCAACCAGAAACCUCGCCGAGCACACCGGUCAUCGGGUUCUACACAAGACUGCUAAGUCAAAACGGGCAGUGAAAAUCGAACGGUAGCCACAGCCACGUUGACCAGACCAGAGGCAAUCGAACGAACACAAACGGUGCGAAAUCGAGGAAGCCUUAGGUGAGCGGGUCGGCUAGCCAUCUGAUAUGUUAGAAUUUUCUCUUCUCACACAAAAAUUGGUUUUGCUGGAUAGCUCUCAUCAGCUUGCUCUUGAUCCGCUGUAUUGAGGUUGCUCCUCCUCACCUCAAGCCACCACUGGAGCUGGUGCUGCCACAGGGUGACCAUCGACGGCGGCUGGUUUGGCCCCUCGCCCGCAGCCUCUUGGAUCCAGCUUCAGUAUGAGGGAGCUGGAGACAUUUUCUUCCCCAAGCGCGCAAACCAAACGCAUCGCCGCUAUUUCUGCGCGAGGCAGCUCAACACAUCAUUCACAUCCUCUACUGCGGCAACAUUCUUCAAUUCGAACUGCAGAACGGAGCUGUGGCAUUAAGACAGAAACCCACUAUCGAAUUUGAGGUUGGUCGAAUAUGAAAACCAUCUGAUGCACCAUAUGUGUUUCUCUAUAUCGCAGCAAGCAAUCCCAUUUUUGUCUGUUAUACAUGCAGUGUGGUUCUAGUCUUCUAGAGUAUAUUAUCUUAACGUGAAUACACGGGAACCAACAUCCAUGGCAUCACCAUUAAAAAACAUCCCGUCACGCCCGCUGUUGCUACAGCGCCUCCAGCCGCCGGCGACUCCUGCCCGUCGCGCCUGCUGUAGCAGCACAGCCUCCAGCGCCUGCAGACACCUGCCCGUCGCGCCUGCUGUGCGACUCCUGCGCCGGCGACUCCAGCACCUCAGCCUCCCAACGCCGGAGCUCCGGAUCCGGCCAAUUGACCUAGUCGGCGAGCAGCCAGGUCGCCUCGUCACGCCUCUCUUCCUCACUGGUUCUCCUGCUCUCGCUUCCUCCAAAUUGUGACUGGCGGACCAAGCAAAUCGAGUAAGAACAACGACAGGGGUUCUCCUGUUUGGAGGAAGAACAUCAACAUGGGUUUGUUUGGAGGAAGAACAACAACAGGGACCAACCAAAUUGUGAAUUGCUACCUGUAACAGGGCUCUGUUUGUGAACAGCAACAGGGACCAACAGGUGUAUGUGUUUGGAUUGAUCAGAAGUGUUGCAGCAACAUGGGUCCUCCCAUUGUGUUACUCCACUUGAUCAGAAUUGCUUGGAUUGACCAUUGUCCAUCUGUCCACCUGUGAAAACAAAAGCAAGAUUGACAAAUCAGCAGAAAAUUGACAAAGCAAGAUCAACAGUAGGUUAGCUACUCCAUUUUUAAUCCAAGUACUCUUAAUGAUCAACAACAAGGAGUAGAUUCUUGGGAUACUAACUGGAUUAUUAUCCUGAAACCAGGCUCAUAAUUCAGUUUUUGUCUGGAUUGUUUGAAAGCAAACUGUACAUGCUCACCAAUUAUUUUUGAUGUCUUUCAACAUUGGCAACUCUCUCGUGUAAAUUAAAAUAAAGAGAAGAUGAAACUCCUUGUUGGAGUAUGUGUAA